This 73-nucleotide transfer RNA is filed under the name Vicugna pacos (alpaca). RNAcentral's name for it is "tRNA-Ala (AGC) (tRNA-Ala-AGC-493-1)". It matches the Rfam family "tRNA". Rfam says of the family: Transfer RNA (tRNA) molecules are approximately 80 nucleotides in length. Their secondary structure includes four short double-helical elements and three loops (D, anti-codon, and T loops). The record is from RNAcentral. Lineage: Eukaryota; Metazoa; Chordata; Mammalia; Artiodactyla; Camelidae.
GGAGGGUAGAGCUCAGUGGUAGAGUGUGUGCUUAGCAUGCACAAGGUCCUGGGUUCAAUCCCCAGUACCUCCA